CGUUUCUUCUCCCUGUAGCUCCUCUUCUUCUCAUCGAACACUUUUUUUUUCUUCUUCUUGCUUAAUCAAUGGUAUUCUCCAUCUUCUUCUUCACAUUCUCUUCACCUUCACUUUUUGGGCUUUUCGUUUGAGAGAUAAAGACUUUCUAGACGUUUUUUCUUCUCUUAUGCAGUACUAAGCAGAAGAUCAAUUUACAACAUACACCAAAAAAAAAAAAAUUGGUACUGCAAUUCGUUCUCUUUCACAAAACACACAAAUCUUAUUUUUUUUUUUUAAUUCUUUCAUUCUUAGGGUUCUUUCGAUUAAUAGAGUAAAUCAUUUGCUUACUCACCUAUCGCGAGGAAGACAAUGCGGUUUCAGAACUGCGAGUUAGAGUGGAAGAUGAUGUAGUUCAGAAAUUAGGCCAUUAUAUUAAACUCAGUGUGGAGUGUGGACUUCGAAGUAUUUCUCAAGAAGCAGAUCAUGAAGAGGAAGAAGAUUCAUUAUCACCGUCUUCUUCUUCUUCUUGUGGACGGGAUAGAUCUGUGUGGUUAUGUUCAAGCUUGGUCUUUUCUUCGCGAUUCUAACUGCUUUGGGUCUCGCUGGUUACAAAUGGCUCGCUCCUUCAAUCAUGGAUAAGGGAAGAAUGCUGCUUGAUAUUAAUUUCCGUGAAGGAAGUCUAGAAACAAAGGUUAGUAAGUUUCUUUUACCACAUAUAGAUGAUACCUUAACCUUAUUUUACUUCAUAGAAUCAAAUAUUGUCAAUUUUCUUAUAUAGAAUUUAAGUUCAUUACUAUAACUCAGGGGUAUAAGUGAAACAAACCAAGGAAACUUCACAUAACUUGAGUAUCAUGAAUGACUUUCUAAUAUAACUACGACAAUGUAGUUGUUUCAAUAUCCUCAAUUAAACACAAUAAAUAUGUAUCAUGUCAGGAAAAUAGUAAAGACAAAACAAAAGCAUAAGAUUUUUAAGAAAGUUCAAACGAAAAUGGAUGCAAAGUUCCAACAACUUUUGAUACACACCAUCACACGCUUCUCUUAACAUUCAGGUUUCCAUCUAACCUGGAAUAAGAAGAACCAUAUGUUCAUACAAAAAAAAAAAAAAAAAAAAAC
Molecule: long non-coding RNA, 1092 nt
Organism: Arabidopsis lyrata subsp. lyrata
Lineage: Eukaryota; Viridiplantae; Streptophyta; Magnoliopsida; Brassicales; Brassicaceae
Exons: 2
Source: RefSeq, a predicted model, not a curated record